AUAUCUCCUUCUGAAAGUCUUUCAAUCUCCUACCCCUUCUCAGCCUAAUGCUGAAAUCCUUAUCUGACACUUCUGCAAUGUCGAGUGCCUUCGAGGUAACUGAAUAAUCCUCUGUACUGCUUUCCUCUAGCAUGAGCACGUUCAACUCGUAGGAAUCAGAAGAAGACAGAGGUUUUGUAGGAUUAUCACCACCCUUUUCUACUUCAUUAGAUCCCACCUGCCUAGAACGAUCUUCAAACCAAGCUGGAUCAGUAAGUGAAAUUCGGACAAGUGAUUCAGCUGCUUCUUGGAUCAAUUUAUCACCUUCAGGUGAAUCUUUCCUUCCCAGGCAAUUGUUCUCAGGUCCAAUGCUUAUUCUUUCUGCUGUUUCCUGCUUGUUCAAUGAGGUUUCCACGGUUUGACGUGCUAUUGAUUUUUCUUCUGACAUCAAACAGCUUGAGUUUCCAACUCCGUGUCCAGAUUGUGCUGUUUUUAUGCUGCUUGAAUCACUACCCGUACUUCUGAUCCCACAUUGCAUCUGCCGGUGUCCAUCUUGACUUGAGUCUUGACAGCUUUUCUUAGAUGAAAAAAGCAGAGCGUCUUUCUCAUCAUCCUCAGAAUCUUUUGCUCGUGCAUUAUCCUCCUGCUGCUCCAGGACAAGACUAUUUG
Molecule: long non-coding RNA, 648 nt
Filed under: Eucalyptus grandis
Lineage: Eukaryota; Viridiplantae; Streptophyta; Magnoliopsida; Myrtales; Myrtaceae
Description: long non-coding RNA (EGRA_LNC002549)
Source: RNAcentral